UGGGGAAUCUUGCACAAUGGGGGCAACCCUGAUGCAGCGACGCCGCGUGAGCGAUGAAGCCCUUCGGGGCGUAAAGCUCUUUCGACCGGAACGAUAAUGACGGUACCUGGAGAGGAAGCCCCGGCUAACUCUGUGCCAGCAGCCGCGGUAAUACAGAGGGGGCAAGCGUUAUUCGGAAUUAUUGGGCGUAAAGGGCGCGUAGGCGGUGUCUUAAGUGGGAUGUGCAAUCCCCGGGCUUAACCUGGGAACUGCAUCCCAGACUGGGACGCUGGAGUACUGGAGAGGGUGGUGGAAUUCCACGUGUAGCGGUGAAAUGCGUAGAGAUGUGGAGGAACACCAGUGGCGAAGGCGGCCACCUGGACAGUAACUGACGCUGAGGCGCGAAAGUGUGGGUAGCAAACA
This 402-nucleotide ribosomal RNA is filed under the name uncultured bacterium. RNAcentral's name for it is "bacterial SSU rRNA". It matches the Rfam family "Bacterial small subunit ribosomal RNA", at positions 355 to 774 of the family's 1533-position model. The record is from RNAcentral.